CACCACCCCACCGACCCCCGCCGGCCCUAGCCAGUGGUAAAUACAAUGAAGCCAAGGAAAACGGGGGAUUCUGCACCUGCGUCAGGGACAGUCUGGCCAAAGCCUCUGCUCUGCCUCCGGGGACGAGGAGCUAGCACAAAUAACCGUUUUGAAAUUGGAUCUUGACAAAAUCUGCAACGAAUCCAUAAAGGAAACUGAAAGCAGUUUGAUCUUCAUCUUCAGUGACAGUCCCACAAAAGUUGAAGAAAUAUGUUAUGUCUCCAAAGAAGAGUACAGUUGUGCCCUAAAAUUCAAACAUGAUUAAGG
Molecule: long non-coding RNA, 306 nt
Filed under: Neogale vison (American mink)
Lineage: Eukaryota; Metazoa; Chordata; Mammalia; Carnivora; Mustelidae
Description: Neovison vison (American mink) lncRNA (ENSNVIG00000013028.1)
Source: RNAcentral